CAGCGGAUCCAGAUACCGCGCUAACAGUUCUACCGCAACGAUGCCACUAGGGAUCCCCGGCUCCCGGCUGGUGGCAGUUCCCGGAAACGAAAAGUCUUCCGGUUCGGGGGAGUAUGGUUGCAAAGUGAAACUUAAAGGAAUUGACGGAAGGGCACCACCAGGAGUGGAGCCUGCGGCUUAAUUUGGACUCAACACGGGAAAACUCACCCGGCCCGGACACCGUGAGGUUUGACAGAUUGAUAUUUUUUCAUGAUUCGGUGGUUGGGGUGCAUGGCCCGUUCUUAGUUUCGUGUCGAUUUUGUCUGGUUUAUUCCGAUAACGAGCGAGACUCCAGCCUACUAAAUAGUGCGGCAUUUGCUACUGUGCGUGUACUUCUUAGAGGGAUUGCUGCGCUAGCGGCAGAAACGGAGCAAUUAACAGGUCUGUGAAUGCCCUUAGAUGUCCGGGGCUGCACGCGUAACUGAAGGCAGCGUGCUUCCGUCUCAAAGGAGCCGUAAACCCUUUGAAAUUUGCCGUGUGGGCGGAAAUUAAUUUUUUUCCUA
RNAcentral lists this ribosomal RNA (542 nucleotides) under Hemicaloosia uarki. Its description in RNAcentral is "bacterial SSU rRNA". It matches the Rfam family "Eukaryotic small subunit ribosomal RNA", at positions 1000 to 1600 of the family's 1831-position model. The record is from RNAcentral. Lineage: Eukaryota; Metazoa; Nematoda; Chromadorea; Rhabditida; Hemicycliophoridae.